GGUUAAGCGACUAAGCGUACACGGUGGAUGCCCUGGCAGUCAGAGGCGAUGAAGGACGUGCUAAUCUGCGAUAAGCGUCGGUAAGGUGAUAUGAACCGUUAUAACCGGCGAUUUCCGAAUGGGGAAACCCAGUGUGAUUCGUCACACUAUCAUUAACUGAAUCCAUAGGUUAAUGAGGCGAACCGGGGGAACUGAAACAUCUAAGUACCCCGAGGAAAAGAAAUCAACCGAGAUUCCCCCAGUAGCGGCGAGCGAACGGGGAGCAGCCCAGAGCCUGAAUCAGUGUGUGUGUUAGUGGAAGCGUCUGGAAAGGCGCGCGAUACAGGGUGACAGCCCCGUACACAAAAAUGCACAUGCUGUGAGCUCGAUGAGUAGGGCGGGACACGUGGUAUCCUGUCUGAAUAUGGGGGGACCAUCCUCCAAGGCUAAAUACUCCUGACUGACCGAUAGUGAACCAGUACCGUGAGGGAAAGGCGAAAAGAACCCCGGCGAGGGGAGUGAAAAAGAACCUGAAACCGUGUACGUACAAGCAGUGGGAGCACAGAGCAAUCUGUGUGACUGCGUACCUUUUGUAUAAUGGGUCAGCGACUUAUAUUCUGUAGCAAGGUUAACCGAAUAGGGGAGCCGAAGGGAAACCGAGUCUUAACUGGGCGUUAAGUUGCAGGGUAUAGACCCGAAACCCGGUGAUCUAGCCAUGGGCAGGUUGAAGGUUGGGUAACACUAACUGGAGGACCGAACCGACUAAUGUUGAAAAAUUAGCGGAUGACUUGUGGCUGGGGGUGAAAGGCCAAUCAAACCGGGAGAUAGCUGGUUCUCCCCGAAAGCUAUUUAGGUAGCGCCUCGUGAAUUCAUCUCCGGGGGUAGAGCACUGUUUCGGCAAGGGGGUCAUCCCGACUUACCAACCCGAUGCAAACUGCGAAUACCGGAGAAUGUUAUCACGGGAGACACACGGCGGGUGCUAACGUCCGUCGUGAAGAGGGAAACAACCCAGACCGCCAGCUAAGGUCCCAAAGUCAUGGUUAAGUGGGAAACGAUGUGGGAAGGCCCAGACAGCCAGGAUGUUGGCUUAGAAGCAGCCAUCAUUUAAAGAAAGCGUAAUAGCUCACUGGUCGAGUCGGCCUGCGCGGAAGAUGUAACGGGGCUAAACCAUGCACCGAAGCUGCGGCAGCGACGCUUAUGCGUUGUUGGGUAGGGGAGCGUUCUGUAAGCCUGCGAAGGUGUGCUGUGAGGCAUGCUGGAGGUAUCAGAAGUGCGAAUGCUGACAUAAGUAACGAUAAAGCGGGUGAAAAGCCCGCUCGCCGGAAGACCAAGGGUUCCUGUCCAACGUUAAUCGGGGCAGGGUGAGUCGACCCCUAAGGCGAGGCCGAAAGGCGUAGUCGAUGGGAAACAGGUUAAUAUUCCUGUACUUGGUGUUACUGCGAAGGGGGGACGGAGAAGGCUAUGUUGGCCGGGCGACGGUUGUCCCGGUUUAAGCGUGUAGGCUGGUUUUCCAGGCAAAUCCGGAAAAUCAAGGCUGAGGCGUGAUGACGAGGCACUACGGUGCUGAAGCAACAAAUGCCCUGCUUCCAGGAAAAGCCUCUAAGCAUCAGGUAACAUCAAAUCGUACCCCAAACCGACACAGGUGGUCAGGUAGAGAAUACCAAGGCGCUUGAGAGAACUCGGGUGAAGGAACUAGGCAAAAUGGUGCCGUAACUUCGGGAGAAGGCACGCUGAUAUGUAGGUGAAGUCCCUCGCGGAUGGAGCUGAAAUCAGUCGAAGAUACCAGCUGGCUGCAACUGUUUAUUAAAAACACAGCACUGUGCAAACACGAAAGUGGACGUAUACGGUGUGACGCCUGCCCGGUGCCGGAAGGUUAAUUGAUGGGGUUAGCGCAAGCGAAGCUCUUGAUCGAAGCCCCGGUAAACGGCGGCCGUAACUAUAACGGUCCUAAGGUAGCGAAAUUCCUUGUCGGGUAAGUUCCGACCUGCACGAAUGGCGUAAUGAUGGCCAGGCUGUCUCCACCCGAGACUCAGUGAAAUUGAACUCGCUGUGAAGAUGCAGUGUACCCGCGGCAAGACGGAAAGACCCCGUGAACCUUUACUAUAGCUUGACACUGAACAUUGAGCCUUGAUGUGUAGGAUAGGUGGGAGGCUUUGAAGUGUGGACGCCAGUCUGCAUGGAGCCGACCUUGAAAUACCACCCUUUAAUGUUUGAUGUUCUAACGUUGACCCGUAAUCCGGGUUGCGGACAGUGUCUGGUGGGUAGUUUGACUGGGGCGGUCUCCUCCUAAAGAGUAACGGAGGAGCACGAAGGUUGGCUAAUCCUGGUCGGACAUCAGGAGGUUAGUGCAAUGGCAUAAGCCAGCUUGACUGCGAGCGUGACGGCGCGAGCAGGUGCGAAAGCAGGUCAUAGUGAUCCGGUGGUUCUGAAUGGAAGGGCCAUCGCUCAACGGAUAAAAGGUACUCCGGGGAUAACAGGCUGAUACCGCCCAAGAGUUCAUAUCGACGGCGGUGUUUGGCACCUCGAUGUCGGCUCAUCACAUCCUGGGGCUGAAGUAGGUCCCAAGGGUAUGGCUGUUCGCCAUUUAAAGUGGUACGCGAGCUGGGUUUAGAACGUCGUGAGACAGUUCGGUCCCUAUCUGCCGUGGGCGCUGGAGAACUGAGGGGGGCUGCUCCUAGUACGAGAGGACCGGAGUGGACGCAUCACUGGUGUUCGGGUUGUCAUGCCAAUGGCACUGCCCGGUAGCUAAAUGCGGAAGAGAUAAGUGCUGAAAGCAUCUAAGCACGAAACUUGCCCCGAGAUGAGUUCUCCCUGACUCCUUGAGAGUCCUGAAGGAACGUUGAAGACGACGACGUUGAUAGGCCGGGUGUGUAAGCGCAGCGAUGCGUUGAGCUAACCGGUACUAAUGAACCGUGAGGCUUAACCUUAC
This 2908-nucleotide ribosomal RNA is filed under the name Escherichia coli K71. RNAcentral's name for it is "bacterial LSU rRNA". It matches the Rfam family "Bacterial large subunit ribosomal RNA". The record is from RNAcentral. Lineage: Bacteria; Pseudomonadati; Pseudomonadota; Gammaproteobacteria; Enterobacterales; Enterobacteriaceae.